This 425-nucleotide long non-coding RNA is filed under the name Mus musculus (house mouse). RNAcentral's name for it is "predicted gene, 47777". The record is from RNAcentral. Lineage: Eukaryota; Metazoa; Chordata; Mammalia; Rodentia; Muridae.
AUUCUUACAGAAAAAAUGAGGAUUAAAAAAAAAAACACAGUAAAGGGAGUACUCCUCAUGAUACACCGACACUUCUGGAACUGAGGUAUACCAGGAGGAUCUCCAAACCUCCAUUGUUUCUCAUCUCUUGAUUCACCUUCAUCAUAUCUGUGGAUCUGAACCAUAGAGGUCCUCCUCCUGACUUGAAGCUGGUCAGUUGCAUCCUUUUUGACGUUUUAAAUUCUGACCUUAGACUCAAAUGUGAAAGUUCUGUUCCCAAAGAAGAAGAAUGUGAAACUUCAGUUCUGAAGAAGGAUGAAGAAGAAGAAGAAGAAGAAGAAGAAGAAGAAGAAGAAGAAGAAGAAGAAGAAGAAGAAGAAGAAGAAGAAGAAGAAGAAGAAGAAAGAAGAAGAAGAAGAAGAAAGAGGAAGGGGAAGGGAAAGAGG